Molecule: ribosomal RNA, 1423 nt
Filed under: Listeria monocytogenes
Lineage: Bacteria; Bacillati; Bacillota; Bacilli; Caryophanales; Listeriaceae
Description: partial 23S ribosomal RNA
Rfam family: Bacterial large subunit ribosomal RNA
Source: RNAcentral
GAUAUGAACCGUUAUAACCGGCGAUACCCGAAUGGGGAAACCCAGUGUGAUUCGUCACACUAUCAUUAACUGAAUCCAUAGGUUAAUGAGGCGAACCGGGGGAACUGAAACAUCUAAGUACCCCGAGGAAAAGAAAUCAACCGAGAUUCCCCCAGUAGCGGCGAGCGAACGGGGAGGAGCCCAGAGCCUGAAUCAGCAUGUGUGUUAGUGGAAGCGUCUGGAAAGGCGCGCGAUACAGGGUGACAGCCCCGUACACAAAAGCGCAUGUGCUGUGAGCUCGAUGAGUAGGGCGGGACACGUGGUAUCCUGUCUGAAUAUGGGGGGACCAUCCUCCAAGGCUAAAUACUCCUGACUGACCGAUAGUGAACCAGUACCGUGAGGGAAAGGCGAAAAGAACCCCGGCGAGGGGAGUGAAAAAGAACCUGAAACCGUGUACGUACAAGCAGUGGGAGCACCCUUUGGGUGUGACUGCGUACCUUUUGUAUAAUGGGUCAGCGACUUAUAUUCUGUAGCAAGGUUAACCGAAUAGGGGAGCCGGAGGGAAACCGAGUCUUAAUUGGGCGUUAAGUUGCAGGGUAUAGACCCGAAACCCGGUGAUCUAGCCAUGGGCAGGUUGAAGGUUGGGUAACACUAACUGGAGGACCGAACCGACUAAUGUUGAAAAAUUAGCGGAUGACCUGUGGCUGGGGGUGAAAGGCCAAUCAAACCGGGAGAUAGCUGGUUCUCCCCGAAAGCUAUUUAGGUAGCGCCUCGUGAAUUCAUCUCCGGGGGUAGAGCACUGUUUCGGCUAGGGGGCCAUCCCGGCUUACCAACCCGAUGCAAACUGCGAAUACCGGAGAAUGUUAUCACGGGAGACACACGGCGGGUGCUAACGUCCGUCGUGAAGAGGGAAACAACCCAGACCGCCAGCUAAGGUCCCAAAGUCAUGGUUAAGUGGGAAACGAUGUGGGAAGGCCCAGACAGCCAGGAUGUUGGCUUAGAAGCAGCCAUCAUUUAAAGAAAGCGUAAUAGCUCACUGGUCGAGUCGGCCUGCGCGGAAGAUGUAACGGGGCUAAACCAUGCACCGAAGCUGCGGCAGCGACACUGUGUGUUGUUGGGUAGGGGAGCGUUCUGUAAGCCUGUGAAGGUGUGUCGUGAGGCAUGCUGGAGGUAUCAGAAGUGCGAAUGCUGACAUAAGUAACGAUAAAGCGGGUGAAAAGCCCGCUCGCCGGAAGACCAAGGGUUCCUGUCCAACGUUAAUCGGGGCAGGGUGAGUCGACCCCUAAGGCGAGGCCGAAAGGCGUAGUCGAUGGGAAACGGGUUAAUAUUCCCGUACUUGGUGUUACUGCGAAGGGGGGACGGAGAAGGCUAUGUUGGCCGGGCGACGGUUGUCCCGGUUUAAGCGUGUAGGCUGGUUUUCCAGGCAAAUCCGGAAAAUCAAGGC